This 945-nucleotide ribosomal RNA is filed under the name uncultured archaeon. RNAcentral describes it as "bacterial SSU rRNA". It matches the Rfam family "Archaeal small subunit ribosomal RNA", at positions 1 to 922 of the family's 1478-position model. The record is from RNAcentral.
UUCCGGUUGAUCCCGCCGGACCCUACUGCUAUCGGGGUGGGACUAAGACAUGCGAGUUGAGCGUCUCUAAGCUAUGGUAGAGACGCGGCGUACGGCUCAGUAACACGUGGCUAACCUACCCUUAGGACGGGGACAACCCCGGGAAACUGGGGCUAAUACCCGAUAGGCGAGGAGGCCUGGAAUGGUUCUUAGUCGAAAAGGCGUUGAAACCAUGCUUUUCGACGUUGCCUAAGGAUGGGGCCGCGCCCGAUCAGGUUGUUGGUGGGGUAACGGCUCACCAAGCCUAUAACCGGUACGGGCCGUGAGAGCGGGAGCCCGGAGAUGGGCACUGAGACAAGGGCCCAGGCCCUACGGGGCGCAGCAGUCGCGAAAACUCCGCAAUGCGCGAAAGCGUGACGGGGCUACCCCGAGUGCCGUCCGCUGAGGAUGGCUUUUCCCCGGUGUAAUGAGCCGGGGGAAUAAGGAGAGGGCAAGUCUGGUGUCAGCCGCCGCGGUAAUGCCAGCUCUCCGAGUGGUAGGGAUGAUUAUUGGGCUUAAAGCGUCCGUAGCCGGCUUAGCAAGUCUCCUGUUAAAUUCAGCGACCUAAUCGUUGAGCCGCGGGAGAUACUACUAGGCUAGGAGGCGGGAGAGGCCGACGGUAUUCUCGGGGUAGGGGUGAAAUCCUAUAAUCCCGGGAGGACCACCAGUGGCGAAGGCUGUCGGCUAGAACGCGCUCGACGGUGAGGGACGAAAGCUGGGGGAGCGAACCGGAUUAGAUACCCGGGUAGUCCCAGCUGUAAACGAUGCGGGCUAGGUGUUGGGGUGGCUACGAGCCACUUCAGUGCCGCAGGGAAGCCAUUAAGCCCGCCGCCUGGGGAGUACGGCCGCAAGGCUGAAACUUAAAGGAAUUGGCGGGGGAGCACCACAAGGCGUGAAGCUUGCGGUUCAAUUGGAGUCAACGCCGGA